GUAUAGCUCAGUCGGCAAAGAGCAGGAGGCUCUUAACCUCAGGGCCAUGGAUUUGAGCCCCAUGUUGGGCA
Podarcis lilfordi (Lilford's wall lizard) is the source of this 71-nucleotide non-coding RNA. The record is from the annotation of a GenBank genome assembly. Lineage: Eukaryota; Metazoa; Chordata; Lepidosauria; Squamata; Lacertidae.